This 450-nucleotide ribosomal RNA is filed under the name uncultured bacterium. Its description in RNAcentral is "partial 16S ribosomal RNA". It matches the Rfam family "Bacterial small subunit ribosomal RNA", at positions 354 to 796 of the family's 1533-position model. The record is from RNAcentral.
GUGGGGAAUAUUCCGCAAUGGACGAAAGCCUGACGGAGCAACGCCGCGUGAGUGAAGACGGCCUUCGGGUUGUAAAGCUCUGUUAUAUGGGACGAACGUAUCUAUGGCCAAUACCCAUAGAUAGUGACGGUACCGUAAGAGAAAGCCACGGCUAACUACGUGCCAGCAGCCGCGGUAAUACGUAGGUGGCAAGCGUUGUCCGGAAUUAUUGGGCGUAAAGGGCGCGCAGGCGGCCUGUCAAGUCUGUCUUAAAAGUGCGGGGCUCAACCCCGUGAUGGGACGGAAACUGGCAGGCUGGAGUGUCGGAGAGGAAAGCAGAAUUCCUAGUGUAGCGGUGAAAUGCGUAGAUAUUAGGAGGAAUACCAGUGGCGAAAGCGGCUUUCUGGACGACAACUGACGCUGAGGCGCGAAAGCCAGGGGAGCAAACGGGAUUAGAUACCCCAGUAGUCC